Molecule: ribosomal RNA, 283 nt
Filed under: uncultured Prevotella sp.
Lineage: Bacteria; Pseudomonadati; Bacteroidota; Bacteroidia; Bacteroidales; Prevotellaceae
Description: partial 16S ribosomal RNA
Rfam family: Bacterial small subunit ribosomal RNA
Source: RNAcentral
UGAGGAAUAUUGGUCAAUGGACGAGAGUCUGAACCAGCCAAGUAGCGUGCAGGAUGACGGCCCUAUGGGUUGUAAACUGCUUUUAUAAGGGAAUAAAGUUAGAGUCGUGACUCUUUUUGCAUGUACCUUAUGAAUAAGGACCGGCUAAUUCCGUGCCAGCAGCCGCGGUAAUACGGAAGGUCCGGGCGUUAUCCGGAUUUAUUGGGUUUAAAGGGAGCGUAGGCCGGAGAUUAAGCGUGUUGUGAAAUGUAGGCGCUCAACGCCUGCACUGCAGCGCGAACUG